This is a long non-coding RNA of Lolium rigidum, 181 nucleotides long. RefSeq lists it as uncharacterized. NCBI's taxonomy places the organism in Eukaryota, Viridiplantae, Streptophyta, Magnoliopsida, Poales, Poaceae. The record is from RefSeq and is a predicted model, not a curated record. The transcript has 3 exons.
CGCAGUUGACGGAGAAGAAGCUGGCGACCUCCAUGCGGGAGAUCAAGGUGCAGAAGCUUGUCUUCGACAUCUCCGUUGGUGCUGGAGCUGCUGACCGGACAGUCACCGGUGUUCUCCAAGGGUGCAUCAUUUCACGUCACAUCCAUUUUGUUUAUUGACAGUAUGCAAAGGUUUUACAAGA